AGGAUCAUUAUCAUGUAAAUUCAGUCAUGCUUGCUGCGUGAGCUGCAAUACACCCACCCUGCGUACACAUCUCCUGUUGCUUCCGCCGUGCCCAGAUGAGAAUCUGCCCGGCGGGNGGGUAGAAAAUAACCUCCGAGUCAUACUUUAUAGAAUCUGUCUGAACAAAUGAAGAAACCAAAUGAAAUGUUAAAACUUUCAGCAACGGAUCUCUUGGUUCUCGCAUCGAUGAAGAACGCAGCGAAAUGCGAUAAGUAGUGUGAAUUGCAGAAUUCAGUGAAUCAUCGAAUCUUUGAACGCACAUUGCGCCUCCUGGCAUUCCGGGAGGCAUGCCUGUUCGAGAGUCAUUUACAACCACAUCGAACCCCCCAGUUUCAGUCCUCGAGGGUUCUCGGGGGGGUUUCGGUUCUGGAGGAGGAGGAACGAGAGUUGCCAUGCANAGAGCGCCCAUCCUGCCCACCAAAAUUCANCGAGUUCAGCUGUGACCGCUGCG
Molecule: ribosomal RNA, 490 nt
Filed under: uncultured Genea
Lineage: Eukaryota; Fungi; Ascomycota; Pezizomycetes; Pezizales; Pyronemataceae
Description: eukaryotic LSU rRNA
Rfam family: 5.8S ribosomal RNA (bases 191-344)
Source: RNAcentral